RNAcentral lists this transfer RNA (70 nucleotides) under Ophiocten ludwigi. RNAcentral's name for it is "tRNA-Gln". Lineage: Eukaryota; Metazoa; Echinodermata; Ophiuroidea; Amphilepidida; Ophiuridae. The record is from RNAcentral.
UAGGAAAUAGGUAAAUGUAUACCAUGAAAAUUUGGAUUUCAAAUUAAGAAUUCAUUAUUCUUUUUCCUAA